Non-coding RNA from Trichonephila inaurata madagascariensis, 73 nucleotides. The record is from the annotation of a GenBank genome assembly. NCBI's taxonomy places the organism in Eukaryota, Metazoa, Arthropoda, Arachnida, Araneae, Nephilidae.
GUCCCUGUAGCGCAGUCGAUAGCGCGUUGGACUUUUAAUUCAAAGAUCGUGGGUUCGAAUCCUACCUCGGACG